This 2417-nucleotide unclassified non-coding RNA is filed under the name Leishmania donovani. Its description in RNAcentral is "gene:LdHU3.34.6320(CDS-product:Protein_of_unknown _function_(DUF1193)_putative)". Lineage: Eukaryota; Euglenozoa; Kinetoplastea; Trypanosomatida; Trypanosomatidae. The record is from RNAcentral.
GAACUGAAUACCACAGGAGCGCCUGCCGCUCCACCCUGCUUCCUCCCUUCCUACACUCAGCAUUGUUGUAUAUGUAGCGGCACGUAUUCAAGUAUACGGACGUCAACGCACGCGCAAUAUGCUGGUUGCGCGUUUUGGCCGUCAACGUAGAUUUCCUCUUUUUUCUUUCUCAUAAUGAGUUCUAGGAUGUUCUGGCGCGAUGUGCGCCGCCACGGCCGACCGCUCAGCUUAGGGCUUCUCAUUCUCCACAUACUCACCGUAACACACUGGUGGAUGGUGACCAUGUAUCUCCCACGCAGCAACAGUUCAAGUCUGCCCCUCAUCCCGGACCACAAUGAUGCAGCGCUGCCCAGCGUGUCACAGGAAUCAUGGUGGGCGAAACUGCGAAAACAGACCCCACCACCGUUCUCUCAUCGACCGCCGCCGCCUCUGCACAACGAGGAGCCGACUCUGCCGCCGGAGCGAGUAGCUGUUAUCUCCACCUCCGCCCCCUCUGUGCCUCCGCGGCCGUCUGUGACAAGCACUGCGCCGCCUACCGAAGCGGAAGAGCGCGCGGAAGGCGUUCCCCCUUCGCCACCGAAGCGGAUUAGUGGGCUUGGCAUCUCGACGACCAGCGUUUCGCCGACUCUCUCCCCGGACGACACCAUCGCCGCCUUUUACGCGCAGCUCGCCGUCUUCGAGGCGAAUUUGCAGGUCAAGGAUGUAAAGGGCAACCCCGAUCAGCCUACCAAGGACUUCGUCGACAUCGACGCAGACGAUGAAAUCGGAGUACCCCUCCCGUACGACCCGUACUACAUCGAGGACCCUGCUCGUUGGACGGCGUGCGACCCUCGCAACGCCUCCUUCUCUGUUGAGCGGGACCGGCUGUGCCAGGAGUACCUGCGCAAUCACAACAACAUGCGUAGUAUAAAGGCGAUGUCGUCGAAGCUUCUGCAGGGCCGCACUAUCAAGAUGCAAAUCACGUACGCGCACAACGACCUCAAAACCAUUGUAAAGCUGUCGCAGCGAAAGUUUAUCUACGAGGCCGUCAGCGAGUACUGGGCCUACUCCUUUGACCGCGCGCUCGAGUUCAACCGGGUGCCGACAUCGGUGUUCGUGCCUAUUCCCCUGGACUACCUGCGCGUCGCCGUCGCCUACUCACCGCUCUUCUCACAGUGGUUCAACCGCUUUGUCGUCCUGUACAACUACACGAACCGCAACUUUGUCCAGUGCGCCUACUACACGCGGCAGGUGUCGGAGUGCAGCAUGGCGACGUUGCAGCUCUGGAUGAAGGAUGUCCACCCCGCGCUUGACACGUUUCUAGCCAUCCCGUACGAAAUCGACCACUCCUUCAUCCGCAAGUACUACAUUCCUGGCCACGAGCUCUUCGCCGGCACCAAGCGGGCACGGCUGCGCGCCGUUGGCGAGCUUCUCGAUCGCAGCGUGUUCGACUUUCUCAUCGGCAACACCGACCGCGGCACCAAUAACCACAACAACUUCGCUUACGGUGGGUGCAGCGCCGAAACAGAGUGCCAGCUGGAGAAGUCAGAGAACCGCAUCAAAGGUCUGGCCAAGUACGCCUACAUUGACCACGGAAGCAGUCUCUAUUCGCACAAGGAGCCGUUGGAGAAUCCGUUUUUCGGCAACGCCGAUCGAGUAAGCAUCUGCCGCUUCCGCCGGUCCACCUUCGAGCAUCUUGCCAAGUACGCCUCCACGGAGCGCGCACACUACCCUCUCAUUGAGCACGUCGAGCGCUCCGUACCGGCGGCCGCCUACGAAGUCAGUCACGAAUCCGUAAUUCGUAAAGUGCAGGUGCGCCUCGACAAGAUCGUGCACAUCAUCAACCGCUGCCGGGUCAAGUACACCGACAACGAGGUGUUCUCGAUGCCGGAGUACGACUCGGUACGCAUUCCAGAGGAGGACGCAACGCUCGGUGACGAGUGGAAGUGAAGUAGAGCAUGCUGUGUGCGACUAAUUCGCCCCGUUUUUCCCGUGAAGCAGCAGCUCCUCACCCCCUCGCAACUCUUCGCACGCAGAGUAGAGUGAUAUCUAUAUAUAUAUGUGUGUGUGUUUCUCCUCCUACCCUCUUCCCCGCCUCGCUCUGCGCUCUGCGCUCAUGUGUGGGGGAUGUGUGGGGACUGGCAGCCACGUCUCCGCGAGUCACGGCGUACGAUUGCGCCUUACCUUCCGCUGAUAACAUGUUUACGCCAACGCGACGGAACAGCGUACGCUGCAGGGGUAUUCAUGUACGUACGUGCGUGCGGAAGGGCACAUGAAGGACACAAAGCGGAGAGAGCAAGACGUCCUUGCGAGCGGUGCACCGGCACUCUCAGCGUUGCGUGUACACGGACUUCUCUCCCCACGCGAAUGGUGGCGUGAGGCGCCUGUCUCGAAAGUAGACACGACGGUGCUUGAUGCGCCGGGUGCGCAAUGAUAUC